Molecule: ribosomal RNA, 465 nt
Filed under: uncultured bacterium
Lineage: Bacteria
Description: partial 16S ribosomal RNA
Rfam family: Bacterial small subunit ribosomal RNA
Source: RNAcentral
GACGAACGCUGGCGGCGUGCUUAACACAUGCAAGUCGAACGGAAAGGCCCCUUCGGGGGUACUCGAGUGGCGAACAGGUGAGUAACACGUGAGUAACCUGCCCUUGACUUCGGGAUAACUUCAGGAAACUGGGGCUAAUACCGGAUAGGAAUCCUUGCUGCAUGGUGGGGGUUGGAAAGCUUCGGCGGUUUUGGAUGGACUCGCGGCUUAUCAGCUUGUUGGUGGGGUAGUGGCUUACCAAGGCUUUGACGGGUAGCCGGCCUGAGAGGGCGACCGGCCACCUUGGGACUGAGAUGCGGCCCAGGCUCCUACGGGAGGGAGCAGUGGGGAAUAUUGAAGGAGGGGCGGAAGCCUGAUGCAGCAACGCCGCGUGCGGGAUGACGGCCUUAGGGUUGUAAACCGCUUUCAGCAGGGGCGAAGCUUGUGGUGACGGUACCUGCAGAAGAAGCACCGGCUAACUACGUG